AUUGAACGCUGGCGGAAUGCUUUACACAUGCAAGUCGAACGGUAGAGGGGGCAACCCCUUGAGAGUGGCGAACGGGUGAGUCAUAUAUCGGAACGUGCCCAGUCGUGGGGGAUAACGUAGCGAAAGUUACGCUAAUACCGCAUACGAUCUAAGGAUGAAAGCGGGGGAUCGCCAGACCUCGCGCGACUGGAGCGGCCGAUAUCAGAUUAGGUAGUUGGUAGGGUAAAGGCCUACCAAGCCAACGAUCUGUAGCUGGUCUGAGAGGACGACCAGCCACACUGGAACUGAGACACGGUCCAGACUCCUACGGGAGGCAGCAGUGGGGAAUUUUGGACAAUGGGCGAAAGCCUGAUCCAGCCAUUCCGCGUGCAGGAUGAAGGCCCUCGGGUUGUAAACUGCUUUUGUACAGAACGAAAAGGUUUCUAUUAAUACUAGGAGCUCAUGACGGUACUGUAAGAAUAAGCACCGGCUAACUACGUG
This 480-nucleotide ribosomal RNA is filed under the name uncultured bacterium. RNAcentral's name for it is "partial 16S ribosomal RNA". It matches the Rfam family "Bacterial small subunit ribosomal RNA", at positions 30 to 507 of the family's 1533-position model. The record is from RNAcentral.